CGGGGCUCAAACUCACGAACGGUGAGAUCAUGACCUGAGCCAAAACCAAGAGUCGGGUGCUUAACUGCCUGAGCCACCCAGGUGCCCCGGCAAGUGUUUGUUGAAUGAAAGGAGGUUCUCCAAAUCCCUCCUUUUUAGUAAUCGUUGCUGGUUUCUUCUCCUCUGCUCACCUCUUGACUGCACAUGUCCCAGACCGUCCUGGGCGCCCUUGGCCUCUGCAGAUCACGCCUCCUCCAGACGGCUUCUCACUGUGAGGGGUGACACUGAGGCCCGGCGGGGUCUGGAUCCAGGGACUCCAGAGCCACGCGGCCCCUGCCUGUCCCUCGUGUGACAUCGCAUAUGCUGACCUAUCCAAUCCUCUUUGCGCUGGCCUGGCCUUCUACUCAGCCGCGUGUGGGGAUCUCUGAGCCAGAGUCGGGCUGAGAAACUGCAGGAAAGGGCGUUAGGAGAGGAAAACGUAGAGUGCAGCGCUCUUGAGAACUCAGGGUGUCAGCAUGCAACGUCGGAAGCUUCUUCGGAGGACUCAUUAUCGUGCGAAUUUGGAAUACACCAGCCCCUGCCCCUGACUUCAUUCAUUCAUUCAUUCAUUCAUGCAAUCAUUGAAUAAAUAUUUGUCAAGCACCUAUGGCAGAUUGAGUCCUGGGGUCAGUCACCAUUCCCUUACUACACACACAGUGCCGUGCUAAUUCUGCUGGAAUGUUCAACGCAUUUGUGGAAUAACUUUAUUCUAAAAAGACUUUUUUUUUUUCAUCUCUUCUGUAUCUUUGAAGAACUCCAAAUCAUCCUCAGUACUUAACUCCCACACUUUUACAUGCCUUGAUUUAAAAAAAAAAAAAAUCCUUGAAGCCAACCUCUGUGUAUUUAUGUCAAGAUAUGUGCAGAAUUUUCUGCUGCUGCCGUAACUAUCCGGGAGAUGCUAUCGCGGUCACGAGCGUCUGUGACCCGAGCCCCCCGCCCCGAUGGGGAGGCAUGGAUCGUGGGAAGCAGGAGCAGACCCGAGGGCUUGCGACUCCCGGGAAGACGCACAUUCGAGAGCCGUUUGGCCAAGACCGUUUCCUCUGUUUUUUGGUCCAUUUCCUCCCUUUGUUCAGAAAGCUUCGUGUUUUGUCGACUUCCCCAGGUCUGCUGGUUCCUGGAACGAAUACACCCCCAUGACUGGGCUCUUCCUUCGGUGCAGCCAAGGACGAUGCUGUAUUUUCUCUCCUCUCCAAAAAGGCACCUCUGUUUUCCAAAUCCGGUGGACCAGACUGUGCUGUUUACUCGCCAGCUCGUCUUUUUUCCCCCGGGGCUGCAGGCUGGAGGCUUCCAGGAGCAGAGGCCAGAAUGACUGCCUCUCUUUUACAAAGGUGCUGGGGUCUCGCCCUCUUCCAUUCAGAGGCAGGGCCGGUGUCUGACGGCUGAGGUGACGAGUGUUGCUAUCUGCCCCUCUCAUUUUGGGGGAGUGGUGGGGGGGGAUAGAAAGAGGCCCCAAAGAGGAGAGGACAGGGGCAUCGGACCAUGGAUCGGAUGAGCUCCCAGCUCUCUGUAGCUCUCCAAAUAAGCACCGAUGGUCCUGCCUCGGGCCCCCCUCCUUUGGUAGAGAGGUUUUCACCCAUAUCUCUAGGGGAAGAAGGCCAUGGGUUGGGGUCAUGGUAUUUAAAAGCCACUGGCUGGUAGGCGCCCGAGGGCUUGGAACCAGCAGAAAAUCCCCAGGGGCUGAUCUCCCUGUCCACCCCGCCCCCCAGCCAUUCCUUUCUCGGUGGAUUGCCACGGCCCUGACCUUGCUGGACAGUGGUGCUACGUGCUCUGCUUUAGUAACCUCCCCAUCCGAGCCCCAUGUCCCCCCCACCUCCCCCCACCCCGAGCCCUGCAACGCAGCCAUCGUGAGCCUCUUCCAGCUACUGGAACUGCUCUUGCUCACCUCUGGGCCAUCACAUGUUCUGUUCCCUCUGACAAAACACUCUCCCCUGCCCUGCUUGGCUGUGUCCUAAUCCCCCAGCAGGUUUCGGCUUCCGUGGGAUACUCCCAAGUAUGGUCACCCUUGACCACCAUAAAUGGGUUAGAGGCCCGACCCCGUGCGCCCCUGUAUCUCGGAAUGCCCCAGGAUGGCACAGGCAGGACCACAUGGGGCAGCCUCUGGGCUCAGCCACCUCCUCACCUGGUAUGUCCACUCUGCGAGGCCCAGGCCCGCGUGCUGUUUCUCUCUCCCCAGGGCCUACACGCCGGAGUCAGUUGAUAACUAUUGGAUAAAAGAAGCCCAUGCACACAGUGCCAGACGGAAGAGAAAACAAGGAGAGGAAUGAAACGCUCUGCACGACCCCUGCGUCAGAGCUGGUUUGGGUUUGGGUGGGCGGCAUUCCGGGCUCCCGGUUCCACGUUCUGGCCGGCCGACGCCUCCCUUCAAAGCACGCGCGCUCUGCAGUGGAGAAAGUCAAAGCCACGCCGGAGUCUCAGAAUCUUUGACGAACUCUCAACAAGUCAAGCACGCACACGCACACACACGCGCGCACCCACACGUGCCCCCAUUCCCCCCCGCUCGCAGACUCAUGUUGGCCCACGCUCUCAGGCCGGCAGAGGGCUUUCUGUGUGGGGAGUCAGGGAUGGGUGUGGAAUUCUCUGUCGAGCACUAUUUCAGGAGGUCGGGUGUUUUCUGGCCGCUCGGCCGCCGCGGUGGGGUCGCCUGGCAGCCAAGGGAAGGCUUGGACCGGUAGCCCCCUUCCCCAGAAGGGCCGUCUGGCCUACACAGAGCUGGGCUGUGUUGAGCAAGCCCGGCGCCUCCCGAUUCCAGAGGGCGGUUCCCGCGCCAGCCUUUGUGUGGCUGUGUGGCCAGCAGCAUGCUCUGUUUGCAGGGGCUCCGGGAGGUUUGUGGGCGUGUGGGCAGCGCUCUGUCCUGCCUGGAGCAGGUGUCCGGAGCCUCGAUUGCGCUCCUCGAUCGCAGCGCGUCUUUGACUUGCGGGGCUCUGGCCACAGGGAUCUCUCCCGGGCGGAUCAGGAAAGGGAAAGAAGCUGAGAAGAACCCCGAGCAGAAGCAGCCCCGGCCGGUGCAGCGAGAUGCAGGGACUCCCUGCAAAAUGCAAGGAGGGCAGGUGACCCGGUGAUUGCUCUGGGCGCAUUUCUGCUCCGCAGAGACGCUCCGCAGGAAGGACCGGCCUCCCCAGUCUGGACUGGACGAACUGCCCCCCUGAACGCUGCCUGACCCCUUGCUCCCUCUGAGCCACCGUGGGGGGAUUUUGGGGGGCAGGAAUGUGAAAAGGGGCAUGUGAUCCUGAUGUAAAGGAGCAAAUCACCCACAGGCUCUAAUCUCAUUUUCUUGGAGUUUUUGCUUUCGGGACAAUAUACCAGCCUGACAC
Molecule: long non-coding RNA, 3329 nt
Organism: Felis catus (domestic cat)
Lineage: Eukaryota; Metazoa; Chordata; Mammalia; Carnivora; Felidae
Exons: 3
Source: RefSeq, a predicted model, not a curated record